This is a long non-coding RNA of Oncorhynchus keta (chum salmon), 6825 nucleotides long. RefSeq lists it as uncharacterized. The record is from RefSeq and is a predicted model, not a curated record. NCBI's taxonomy places the organism in Eukaryota, Metazoa, Chordata, Actinopteri, Salmoniformes, Salmonidae. The transcript has 5 exons.
UCUGCUCAUCAGCCUCACUGUACGACAGUGCCUUAGCAUCAUUAGUUAAUGUAAUUGCAUGGCUGAACGUGACUGGGCACCUCGUUAACAUCAGUAUCAACAAGCAUGUCAUGGGAGAGGGUAUAGGAGCUGUAAGCAGGAUAGAGGGGUCAACAGGGCCUCUCGGAGGAGAAAGGUGAUACGAUGCACAUCAUGCCAACUCAAGUCUUGACUUCCACAUGACUUAUUACCAGAGACCCUGUUCCAGAGGACUGGACCGUGUACCUUAGGUGACCUGCAGAGCACUCUGUGAUCUGGAGAAGAAAGCCAGGCUUAAAUGCACCAGAGGGUGGGGGACCACAGGCCCAGCCCAGUGUCCAUCUCCCACCCAGGCCCCCAUGUAACCCCUACCCUACUGAUGGUCCGGGGAAUCGUGGCCAUACAGGCCCCCCGAAGCAGUCUUCAGCCUUACAGUGACAACAACACUACAGCCUACAGUGCUAUCUGGGACCCAGUUGCGUGCUCUGUGAUGAGGCUACUACGGUGUAGAGGUUGUGCCUUCUAGAAUCCCUCUUCCUCGUCUGCUGCUGUGGUGGAAGCUGGGAUCCAGCACCCACAGGACCCCACCCUGGACCAGGACUGCGUUAGUCAAAACAUGUGGUGCUGCUGAAGCACCUACCAGAAGCUCACCUUCUGGUAGGCCUGGGAAUGAGGGGUCAGCCAAAUCACCCACGUCUGUCAAGAUUUCAUUUUUUUUUGUUUAUGUUUUUUUUAACCUUUUAUUUAACUAGGCAAGUCAGUUUAAGAACAAAUUCUUAUUUUGAAUGAUGGUCUAGAAACAGUGGGUUAACUGCCUUUAUUCAGGGGCAGAAUGGCAGAUUUUUACCUUGUCAGCUCAGGGAUUCGAUCUUGCCACCUUUCAGUUACAAGUCCAACGCGAGGCUACCUGCCGCCUAUUAUAUUUAUUUUGUUCUAUAUAUUUGUUAUAUUUAUUGUCAAGAAAAAUGAUUUAGAUGUGGUCCAUGUCUGAAUGUGGUUGCGAAAUUAAAGCUUGACUUACCAUCAGUUGGUGUGUCUGAUAUUCCUUCAGGGUCUCGGAGAGGGUCCUCAGUAUCACCAUCACAAAUGAUGCCAGACACUGAGGUCUCUCAAAUUAUGCUGCCAAUGCACAGGUCCAUAGCAGACAGUGAAAAGUCACUCUGCCCUCCUACUGUUGCACUUAUAUCCCUUUUGUGGAUCAUCAUGUUUUUGUUGUUGAAGAUUUUAAAUCAAACCAUUUAUUUUUAAUUUCAUUUACUGUUCACUCAAGUGAGGCAGAUUUGACCACAGCUCUAACUUGCUCCCAAGCAUUGCUGAGGGCUCCAAAACGUAUGGCUUGUUUUGCUUCCACUUCGGUGAUAAAAAGUUAUAUUUCUGUGUCCGAAAAGUUUUUUUUCUUCUUUGAUUUCUCCAUGUUGGCUGACAGAAAUUUGACAUUUCUUGCAGCUUCAACGGGAAGGUUUGUGAGCAUAAAUGGUCAUUUAGGAGGUUCUUUAUGUAAAUGAGACUGUACGUGCACUAGCACAGUGUUUUAGAAUGUCUGAUUUAUCAAGGCAAAAUACUCACAGGUGUGUGUUAGUCAAGCGUACGAGCAAUUGAUAAAUGCCAACUUUUUUGUACUUGCGAACAUUCUACAUUUUCUUUGAGUUCCUUUUAGAAGCUUUUCUAUGCAACAUUGAUAAAUGAGGGGCCCUGGGGAAAUCUUGAUUCUACCUGGAUUUUGUUGGAGAGGCUUCCAUUAAAGAACACCCACCCUUAGACAUGUAACUCUUUAUCCACAAUAUAGCAGGGGGUGUAAAGCCAUAACGCCUACAAUUUUACAGCAACAGACUAUGAUUGAUAAUGUCAAAGCCGCACUGAAGUCUAACAAAACAGCCCUCACAAUCUUUUUAUCAUCAAUUUCGCUCAGCCAGUCAUCAGUCAUUUGUGUAAGUGCUGUGCUUGUUCAAUGACUUCCCUAUCAGUGUGCUGAUUGUCUGACUAUUUGUUUACUGUAAAAUAGCAUUGUAUCUGGUCAAACACACAUUUUUCCAGAUGUUUACAAAGGGUUGGUAACUAGAUUUUGUUUUUUAAAUUGAACUGUUAUUUAACUAGACAAGUCAAAUUCUUAUUUACAAUGACUGCAUACCCCGGACUACACUGGGCCAAUUUUGCGCUGCCCUAUGGGACUCCCAAUCAUGGCCGGAUGUGAUGCAGCCUGGAUUCGAACCAGGGACUGUAGUGACACCUCUUGCACUGAGCUACAGUGCCUUAGAUUUCUGCGCCACUCGGAAGCCUCACAAGCUGAUUGGUUGGCUAUUUGAGCCAGUAAAGGGGUCUUUACUAUCCUUAGGUAGGUGAAUAACUUUUACUUCCCUCCAGGCCUGAGUGAACACACUUUCUAGGAGGCUUAAAUUAAAGAUGUGGCAAUAUUGUCCGCUAUUAUCUUAAAUAAGUAAUUUUUGUUACCAAGUUGUCAUACCCCGGUGACUUGUCAUUGAUAGAUGAUUUUUUUCAGUUCUUCCACACUUCAUGGAAUUCUAAAUUAAAAUGCGUGUCUUUCAGAAUUUGGUCAGAUAUAUUUGGGAUUGAGAUUGCCUGCAAUGACAACAAGCUCAGUCCGAUGAUGCUGUGACACACUGCCCCAGACCAUGACGGACCCUCCACCUCCAAAUCGAUCCCACUCCAGAGUACAGGCCUCGGUGUAACGCACGUUCCUUCGACGAUAAACACGAAUCCGACCAUCACCCCUGGUGAGACAAAACCGUGACUUGUCAGUGAAGUGCACUUUUUGCCAGUCCUGUCUGGUCCAGCGACUGUGGGUUUGUGCACAUAGGCGACCUUGUUGCCGGUGAUGUCUGGUGAGGACCUGCUUUACAACAGGCCUACAAGCCCUCAAUCCAGCCUCUCUCAGCCUAUUGCUUACAGUUUGAGCACUGAUGCAGGGAUUGUGCGUUUCUGGUGUAACUCGGGCAGUUGUUGUUGCCAUCCUGUACCUGUCCCGCAGGUGUGAUGUUCGGAUGUACCAAUCCUGCGUAGGUGUUUUUACACACAUGGUCUGCCACUGCGAGGACGAUCAGCUGUCCAUCCUGUCUCCCUGUAGCGCUGUUUUAGGCGUCUCACAGUACAGACAUAGGCAUGCUGCAAUAAAUUGCUAAGGCACAUUCACGCAGAUGAGCAGAGACCCUGGGCAUCUUACUUUUGGUGUUUUUCAGAGUCAGUAGAAAGUCCUCUUAGUGUCCUAAGUUUUCAAAACUGUGACCUUAAUUGCCUACCGUCUGUAAUCUGUUUGGGUCUUAACGACCGUUCCACAGGUGCAUAUUCAUUGAUUAUGGUUCAUUGAACAAGCAUGGGAAACUGUGUUUAAACCCUAUCGAAUGAGGAUCUGUGAAGUUAUUUGGAUUUUUUAAAACAAAUUCUUUAAGACAGUGUCCUGAAAAAGGGACAUUUCUUUUUUUGUUGAGUUAAAAGAUUUUUUUUUUUUUUUUACCCCCUUUUCUCCCCAAUUUCGUGGUAUCCAAUUGUUAGUAACUACUAUCUUACCUCAUCUUUACAACUCCCGUAUCGGCUCGGGAGAGACUAAGGUCGAAAGCCAUGCUUCCUCCGAAACACAAUCCAACCAAGCCUUCACAGCGCCCAUCCAACCCGGAAGCCAGCCGCACCAAUGUGUUGGAGGAAACACUGUGCACUGCGCCUGGCCCGCCACAGGAGUCGCUGUGCGUGACGAGACAAGGAUAUCCUUACCGGCCAAACCCUCCCUAACCCGGACGACGCUAAGCCAAUAUUUAACAUUUUAGCCGCCUUUUAAGCAUUCUAAGUACAGUUAAAUAGUUAGACCGCUGCAUACGUGUGUGUGUGUGUGUGUGUUAAGGCACUGCAUCUCGGUGCUAGAAUAUUAUGGUUUUGCGCCGUUAUUGACUUGAUAAAUACAGACUCUGUAUAUUUGGGAAAUGUUGGAACUUGGCCAUGAUGACAGUUUCUAAAAGAAAGCACCAAUGGUAAAUUUGAUCUCAUUUCUGUGUAGAGGUGUAGGGAGAAUGUUUUUAUAUUGUACGGUGACUUUUUCAAACUAAACAUGCAUGUGCCAAACACUGGUCACGCAUUCUGCAAUUAAAUGCUACAGCCCACACGUCUAUGCAAAAACAAACUCUUGUUAAAUGUUACAUUUUCGAUAUAUGAUUGUUUUUCUGUCUCCUGCUUUGGUACAGGCUCUGAGAUUUAAUAUGCUGAUGUCAUGCUCCUAUCACACAGCAGUACUGUAACCUACCAACAUAUUUUUAAUAGGAUACUGGUCUAUUUACUUUCAAUCAGGCUUGAAUGAAUAAAUGGUCAUAUUUGUUGUAUAGUAGCAGGAAUAAAACCAUGUUAGAAAAGGAGAGACUUAUCCUGCAGUAUGAUUUUGAUUUAUAUAAUGAAAUAAACAUAUUAGCUUAGGCCUACAAGCCCAGUUAUGGGAUCUCCUUGCCAACAGCAAAUGCAUAUAUUUUAAAUUUAAGUUUAUUUUUUAUUACCAUUUCAUUUCUUCCAUGCGAGUCAACAAAUACCUACAUUUCCCCAAAAUAACAGUAUUUACAUGCAAUACAAUUCUUUAACCACUAUACGUUGUGCGUACUCAUGGUUUGAGGUGUUUGUGGAAAUACGCCCAAAUUCCCAUCAAGUUCAAAUUUGAUAAAUCCCUAACUUUGGAGGAAAACUGGACCACACAAGGUUGACUUUUUUUUGUGCUUACGCACCUUUGAUAAAUGAGGCCCCAGGUGUGGAAUAGUCUGUUUAUUGAAGGUGGCUAAUCCAUGUAAUCUGUCUGUUAUAGCUACUUGACAUGGCGUGGCCUGCAUCCAGGUUUUUACAGCCAGAAAACAGAAUAAAAAAGCUUAUCGGCUGUAGAAAAUAAGAUUGGGGAUUUAGACUAAUCUUCUAUCAAUGGUCUUGUGAAAAAAUUGGUAAAAAAUACAGUAUUGUAGAACUAACCACAGACAGUUUUUCCAUGUCAAAGAAAAUUCAGAGUUUUCCUGUUUUAUUGAAAUUAAAUGGAGCAUAUUGUAGAAUAAAUAGAAUAUCUAAUAAAAUAACAGACAAAAUAGUUAAGUAGUUUAUUUGAUAAUUGUGGACCUUGUCUGUGUGAAUGCCCCUGGAUAACCCUACCAUACAGGAGUGAGGUGGCUGAGGAUGGAUUAAUGCCCGUUCAUAUUGCUCUCCUGCUGUCUCAGGAAACAAACUAUGCAUCAAGUUUUUUUAGAUUAAGGAUCCUCCUUCCCUGAAAAAUGGUAGUCGCAAUCACACUUAUCUUAUUAGUGAGCUUACGGAGUAAACUCCCUAAGAGGAGCCCAAACAGAGGAUGUCUAUACCAAGAUCAGGCUACUUAUGAAAUGGCACAGGCAGAUUAGGUGUCUAAUUCCAUGGAAUCUCUAAUAUAAAUCUUGGGAUUAUUAGGGUUUAUUGGCCCAUGGGCUUCAAACCUAUGACCCAAGCCAAGAUCUAGCGGCUCUGGCAGCUGUGCAUGCAGACAGAUUGCAAAAGGCCCUUAACAACUUAGAGAUGAUGAUCCAACCCCACAGACCCAGCUAUCCAGAUCAGCCACUUUAUUAUAAAUUACACCAUUUUCAUUGGCCGACCAGGACAAUGUGAAACACCAGACAUGUUUUGAGAAUUUUACCAAUUAGUUAGGGAAAGCAAAUGUAUGAGUUUUUUCCACACUAAGGACCAGCAAUUACAAUUCAAAGUUAGCCUAUUUUUGUAUCAAACAAAUUUUCUAAAUUAAAAGUUGACUCAACAUUUUCUCUAGCAGCAGAAAACAGAAUUUAGUUGCGGAUUUGACAAUUGAUUGAAGAUUAUCAGUCUAAUUCCAGUCUAAAUCUUUUUCAGCCAAUAAGCGUUUUAAUUCUGUUCUAUGGGGAGUGUAAACCUGGAUCCACGCCAUGUCAAUAUGUCAGUAUAACAGAAAGAUUACAGACAGACAGAUUAAAUCAAAUGUAUUUAUAUCACCCUUCGUACAUCAGUUGAUAUCUCAAAGUGCUGUACAGAAACCCAGCCUAAAACCCCAAACAGCAAGCAAUGCAGGUGUAGAAGGUGUAUCAGCCACUUAUAAUUAGACAUAUUUGACAACGUGAAACUGUUUUCACAAUAAAUUCCAGAGCUUCUUUUAAUCGAAAUUUGAAGCCAAAAACCCUCCAAUAACACCUUUGUCGAAAUGCAAUCGUUUAAGUCUGACACAGCAAUUCUAGAUAUCAGCAGCCUGCUUUUCUCGACCAUUCAUUGUUACCCAGAUAGAGGUCCCUGAGACAGAAGUCUACUGAAUAACUCUACUCUACCAGCAUUUGGCUGGUAAUUGAUUGGUCUUUAUUAUGAGCUGAACAGUGAACUAUCAUCCCCUACCAUUCAAUCAGUACUAUUAAUCGGCUCAUUGGAGAGAAUGGAGAAUUAAUUUACUCUACCCUUAAUCAAUCUUAAUAAAUCAAUACGAUUGACCUGUUGAAGUGGCUUGGUUGGUUCUGGGUACACUUUCUCUUCUGUAGACACUGUACAUACUGUGUCUUUUUGGAAUGACUGCUUCAAAAAGGCAAAUUCAUUACGAUUCAUUCAUAUAAUUGUGUGGAUAAAAUUUCAGCUAUAUGUGAUUCAUACAGUGCCUGACGAAAGUAUUCACAACCAUUAACUUUUUCCACAUUUUGUGUUACAGCCUGAAUUUAAAAUGAAUAAAAUAGAGAUGUUGUGUCACUGGCCUACACAUAAUACCCCAUAGUGUCAGAGUCUGGGGCGGCAGCAUAGCCUAGUGGUUAGAGCGUUGGACUAGUAGGGUUGCGAGUUCAAACCCCCGAGCUGACAAGGUAC